Molecule: ribosomal RNA, 466 nt
Filed under: uncultured bacterium
Lineage: Bacteria
Description: partial 16S ribosomal RNA
Rfam family: Bacterial small subunit ribosomal RNA
Source: RNAcentral
GACGAACGCUGGCGGUGUGCUUAACACAUGCAAGUCGAACGGUAAGGCCCUUUCGGGGGUACACGAGUGGCGAACGGGUGAGUAACACGUGAGUAACCUGCCCUCAUCUCUGGGAUAACAGUCGGAAACGGUUGCUAAUACUGGAUAUGAGCUUGCAAGGCAUCUUGUGGGUUGGAAAGAUUUUUUUGGUUGGGGAUGGACUCGCGGCCUAUCAGCUUGUUGGUGAGGUAGUGGCUCACCAAGGCUUCGACGGGUAGCCGGCCUGAGAGGGCGACCGGCCACAUUGGGACUGAGAUACGGCCCAACCUCCUACGGGAGGCAGCAGUGGGGAAUAUUGCACAAUGGACGGAAGUCUGAUGCAGCAACGCCGCGUGCGGGAUGACGGCCUUCGGGUUGUAAACCGCUUUCAAUUGUGACGAAGCUUUUUGUGACGGUAGCAGUAGAAGAAGCACCGGCUAACUACGUG